Aotus nancymaae (Ma's night monkey) is the source of this 298-nucleotide unclassified non-coding RNA. It matches the Rfam family "Metazoan signal recognition particle RNA". Rfam says of the family: The signal recognition particle (SRP) is a universally conserved ribonucleoprotein. The record is from Ensembl. NCBI's taxonomy places the organism in Eukaryota, Metazoa, Chordata, Mammalia, Primates, Aotidae.
GCCGGGCACGCUGUCGCGUGCCUGUAUCCCACCUACUCAGGAGGCUGAGGCUGGAGGAUCGUUUGAGUCCAGGAGUUCUGGGCUGUAAUGAGCUACGCUGAUCAGGUGUCUGCACAAACUUUGGCGUCAAUAUGGUGACUUCCCGGGAGUAGGGGACCACCAGGUUGCCUAAGGAGGGGUGAACCGGCCCAGGUCGGAAAUGGAGCAGGUCAAAACUCCCGUGCUUAUCAGCAGUGGGAUCGUGCCUGCGAAUAACCACUGCACUUCAGCCUGGGCAACAGAGCAAGACCCUAUCUCU